RNAcentral lists this ribosomal RNA (453 nucleotides) under Escherichia coli. Its description in RNAcentral is "partial 23S ribosomal RNA". It matches the Rfam family "Bacterial large subunit ribosomal RNA", at positions 788 to 1239 of the family's 2925-position model. The record is from RNAcentral. Lineage: Bacteria; Pseudomonadati; Pseudomonadota; Gammaproteobacteria; Enterobacterales; Enterobacteriaceae.
GUUGAAAAAUUAGCGGAUGACUUGUGGCUGGGGGUGAAAGGCCAAUCAAACCGGGAGAUAGCUGGUUCUCCCCGAAAGCUAUUUAGGUAGCGCCUCGUGAAUUCAUCUCCGGGGGUAGAGCACUGUUUCGGCAAGGGGGUCAUCCCGACUUACCAACCCGAUGCAAACUGCGAAUACCGGAGAAUGUUAUCACGGGAGACACACGGCGGGUGCUAACGUCCGUCGUGAAGAGGGAAACAACCCAGACCGCCAGCUAAGGUCCCAAAGUCAUGGUUAAGUGGGAAACGAUGUGGGAAGGCCCAGACAGCCAGGAUGUUGGCUUAGAAGCAGCCAUCAUUUAAAGAAAGCGUAAUAGCUCACUGGUCGAGUCGGCCUGCGCGGAAGAUGUAACGGGGCUAAACCAUGCACCGAAGCUGCGGCAGCGACACUGUGUGUUGUUGGGUAGGGGAGCGU